RNAcentral lists this unclassified non-coding RNA (374 nucleotides) under soil metagenome. RNAcentral's name for it is "partial contains internal transcribed spacer 2 and large subunit ribosomal RNA". The stretch from base 1 to 120 matches the Rfam family "5.8S ribosomal RNA", at positions 35 to 154 of the family's 154-position model. The record is from RNAcentral.
GAUGAAGAACGUAGCGAAAUGCGAUGAUUAAUGUGAAUUGCAGAAUUCCGUGAAUCAUCGAGUCUUUGAACGCACAUUGCGCCUCAUGGCAUUCCGUGAGGCAUGCCCAUCUCAGCGUUAGAAAAUAUUCUCAAAUUUUAGUUUUGUGCUAAAAUUUGGAUCAUGUCAAAGAAGCUAUUACUAUUAUUGUGAUCGCUCUUUGGAAAUUGAUAGGUCUUUGAGUUGCUACUCAUAGAACGUGAUGAAUCUUUCUUCGUUCUAUUGUAAUUCACUCUGGUAGUCCUAAAACUUGUAUGCCUGUGGCAUAUCUUGUAAUUUGACCUGAGAUUGGGUAGGGAUACCCGCUGAACUUAAGCAUAUCAAUAAGCGGAGGA